AGUGAACGCUGGCGGUAGGCCUAACACAUGCAAGUCGAACGGCAGCACAGUAAGAGCUUGCUCUUACGGGUGGCGAGUGGCGGACGGGUGAGGAAUACAUCGGAAUCUACUUUUUCGUGGGGGAUAACGUAGGGAAACUUACGCUAAUACCGCAUACGACCUACGGGUGAAAGCAGGGGAUCUUCGGACCUUGCGCGAUUGAAUGAGCCGAUGUCGGAUUAGCUAGUUGGCGGGGUAAAGGCCCACCAAGGCGACGAUCCGUAGCUGGUCUGAGAGGAUGAUCAGCCACACUGGAACUGAGACACGGUCCAGACUCCUACGGGAGGCGGCAGUGGGGAAUAUUGGACAAUGGGCGCAAGCCUGAUCCAGCCAUACCGCGUGGGUGAAGAAGGCCUUCGGGUUGUAAAGCCCUUUUGUUGGGAAAGAAAAGCAGCAAGUUAAUACCCCGCUGUUCUGACGGUACCCAAAGAAUAAGCACCGGCUAACUUCGUG
RNAcentral lists this ribosomal RNA (492 nucleotides) under uncultured bacterium. Its description in RNAcentral is "partial 16S ribosomal RNA". It matches the Rfam family "Bacterial small subunit ribosomal RNA", at positions 29 to 507 of the family's 1533-position model. The record is from RNAcentral.